AUUGGAAACAGAUGCUAAUACCGCAUAACAACAAAAGCCACAUGGCUUUUGUUGAAAGAUGGCUUUGGCUAUCACUCUGGGAUGGACCUGCGGUGCAUUAGCUAGUUGGUAAGCAACGGCUUACCAAGGCGAUGAUGCAUAGCCGAGUUGAGAGACUGAUCGGCCACAAUGGAACUGAGACACGGUCCAUACUCCUACGGGAGGCAGCAGUAGGGAAUCUUCCACAAUGGGCGCAAGCCUGAUGGAGCAACACCGCGUGAGUGAAGAAGGGUUUCGGCUCGUAAAGCUCUGUUGUUGGAGAAGAACGUGCGUGAGAGUAACUGUUCACGCAGUGACGGUAUCCAACCAGAAAGUCACGGCUAACUACGUG
Molecule: ribosomal RNA, 370 nt
Filed under: uncultured bacterium
Lineage: Bacteria
Description: bacterial SSU rRNA
Rfam family: Bacterial small subunit ribosomal RNA
Source: RNAcentral